GAAUUCGCCCUUAGAGUUUGAUCCUGGCUCAGGACGAACGCUGGCGGCGCGCCUAACACAUGCAAGUCGAACGAGCGAGAGAGAGCUUGCUUUCUCGAGCGAGUGGCGAACGGGUGAGUAACGCGUGAGGAACCUGCCUCAAAGAGGGGGACAACAGUUGGAAACGGCUGCUAAUACCGCAUAAGCCCACGACCCGGCAUCGGGUAGAGGGAAAAGGAGCAAUCCGCUUUGAGAUGGCCUCGCGUCCGAUUAGCUAGUUGGUGAGGUAAUGGCCCACCAAGGCAACGAUCGGUAGCCGGACUGAGAGGUUGAACGGCCACAUUGGGACUGAGACACGGCCCAGACUCCUACGGGAGGCAGCAGUGGGGAAUAUUGCACAAUGGGGGAAACCCUGAUGCAGCGACGCCGCGUGGAGGAAGAAGGUCUUCGGAUUGUAAACUCCUGUUGUUGGGGAAGAUAAUGACGGUACCCAACAAGGAAGUGACGGCUAACUACGUGCCAGCAGCCGCGGUAAAACGUAGGUCACAAGCGUUGUCCGGAAUUACUGGGUGUAAAGGGAGCGCAGGCGGGUGAUCAAGUUGGAAGUGAAAUCCAUGGGCUCAACCCAUGAACUGCUUUCAAAACUGAUUGUCUUGAGUAGUGCAGAGGUAGGCGGGAAUUCCCGGUGUAGGCGGUGGAAUGGGUAGAUAUCGGGAGGAAACACCCAGUGGGGAAGGCGGCCUUACUGGGCACCAACUGACGCUGAGGCUCGAAAGUGUGGGUAGCAAACAGGAUUAGAUACCCUGGUAGUCCACACCGUAAACGAUGAUUACUAGGUGUUGGAGGAUUGACCCCUUCAGUGCCGCAGUUAACACAAUAAGUAAUCCACCUGGGGAGUACGACCGCAAGGUUGAAACUCAAAGGAAUUGACGGGGGCCCGCACAAGCAGUGGAGUAUGUGGUUUAAUUCGACGCAACGCGAAGAACCUUACCAAGUCUUGACAUCCUGCGACGAACAUAGAAAUAUGUUUUUCCUUCGGGACGCAGAGACAGGUGGUGCAUGGUUGUCGUCAGCUCGUGUCGUGAGAUGUUGGGUUAAGUCCCGCAACGAGCGCAACCCUUAUGGUCAGUUACUACGCAAGAGGACUCUGGCCAGACUGCCGUUGACAAAACGGAGGAAGGUGGGGAUGACGUCAAAUCAUCAUGCCCUUUAUGACUUGGGCUACACACGUACUACAAUGGCGUUAAACAAAGAGAAGCAAGACCGCGAGGUGGAGCAAAACUCAGAAACAACGUCCCAGUUCGGACUGCAGGCUGCAACUCGCCUGCACGAAGUCGGAAUUGCUAGUAAUCGCAGAUCAGCAUGCUGCGGUGAAUACGUUCCCGGGCCUUGCACACACCGCCCGUCA
Molecule: ribosomal RNA, 1387 nt
Filed under: uncultured bacterium
Lineage: Bacteria
Description: bacterial SSU rRNA
Rfam family: Bacterial small subunit ribosomal RNA
Source: RNAcentral